Long non-coding RNA from Sitophilus oryzae (rice weevil), 382 nucleotides. RefSeq lists it as uncharacterized. The transcript has 3 exons. The record is from RefSeq and is a predicted model, not a curated record. NCBI's taxonomy places the organism in Eukaryota, Metazoa, Arthropoda, Insecta, Coleoptera, Curculionidae.
UUUAUUUUGAAUUAUUUAACACGAUUUUCGAUAGCGGGUAUAGUUGUAUAUGUGUGCUGGAUAGCCAUAAGGAACUAUCAUUAUUGGUUUUCAUGGCACGUUAUAUUGUGUACCUUUGGGUAUCUGCCUCUAAUGGCGGAGUCCAUUAUGUUAUUUCUAAGUGAUGAAGUAUGGGCUACUCAAAUAUCACGAACUGCCAAAUACACCGUGCACGGCAUAUUAAUAUCUGUAGGAACUGUAAUGAUUAUAUCAGGAGAUUCGAUAGUUUUUCAUUAUAUUACGCCUGGUUAUCAUUUGUACACAGCACAUGGAAUUACAGGUUUUGUCUCCAUGAUUUGCAUAAUUUUAUCUAUCCCUGUUGGUAUAGCAGUGAAAUAUCACC